UUCACCGGCCUGCUGAUAAUAAAGCUGCUGUAGAUGAACUGCUGUUCUGAGUCAAACAUGGUGUUGGGACUUGCUUCAAGGGUGUUUUUGAUCUGCCUGCUGUUUAGCACUGGUUGUGCUUUUCCUGUACCAGACUACAGGUAUCCCUACCCAGGUGGUGGACCUUCUUCUGAAUUGAACCUUCAGUUUGCAGGUUUUCCU
Long non-coding RNA from Archocentrus centrarchus (flier cichlid), 201 nucleotides. RefSeq lists it as uncharacterized. The record is from RefSeq and is a predicted model, not a curated record. The transcript has 3 exons. NCBI's taxonomy places the organism in Eukaryota, Metazoa, Chordata, Actinopteri, Cichliformes, Cichlidae.